This 468-nucleotide ribosomal RNA is filed under the name uncultured bacterium. RNAcentral describes it as "partial 16S ribosomal RNA". It matches the Rfam family "Bacterial small subunit ribosomal RNA", at positions 28 to 507 of the family's 1533-position model. The record is from RNAcentral.
GACGAACGCUGGCGGCGUGCUUAACACAUGCAAGUCGAACGGAAAGGCCCUGCUUUUGUGGGGUGCUCGAGUGGCGAACGGGUGAGUAACACGUGAGUAACCUGCCCUUGACUUUGGGAUAACUUCAGGAAACUGGGGCUAAUACCGGAUAGGAGCUCCUGCUGCAUGGUGGGGGUUGGAAAGUUUCGGCGUUUGGGGAUGGACUCGCGGCUUAUCAGCUUGUUUGUGGGGUAGUGGCUUACCAAGGCUUUGACGGGUAGCCGGCCUGAGAGGGUGACCGGCCACAUUGGGACUGAGAUACGGCCCAGACUGCUACGGGAGGCAGCAGUGGGGAAUAUUGCACAAUGGGCGGAAGUCUGAGGCAGAAACGCCGCGUGCGGGAUGACGGGCUUCGGGGUGUAAACAGAUUUCGAAUGAGACGAAGAGUGAGUGACGGUAAUGGGUAAAGAAGCACCGGCUAACUACGUG